RNAcentral lists this ribosomal RNA (490 nucleotides) under uncultured bacterium. Its description in RNAcentral is "partial 16S ribosomal RNA". It matches the Rfam family "Bacterial small subunit ribosomal RNA", at positions 30 to 507 of the family's 1533-position model. The record is from RNAcentral.
AUUGAACGCUGGCGGCAGGCCUAACACAUGCAAGUCGAACGGUAACAGGAAGAAGCUUGCUUCUUUGCUGACGAGUGGCGGACGGGUGAGUAAUGUCUGGGAAACUGCCUGAUGGAGGGGGAUAACUACUGGAAACGGUAGCUAAUACCGCAUAACGUCGCAAGACCAAAGAGGGGGACCUUCGGGCCUCUUGCCAUCGGAUGUGCCCAGAUGGGAUUAGCUAGUAGGUGGGGUAACGGCUCACCUAGGCGACGAUCCCUAGCUGGUCUGAGAGGAUGACCAGCCACACUGGAACUGAGACGCGGUCCAGACGCCUACGGGAGGCAGCAGUGGGGAAUAUUGCACAAUGGGCGCAAGCCUGAUGCAGCCAUGCCGCGUGUAUGAAGAAGGCCUUCGGGUUGUAAAGUACUUUCAGCGGGGAGGAAGGGAGUAAAGUUAAUACCUUUACUCAUUGACGUUACCCGCAGAAGAAGCACCGGCUAACUCCGUG